UCCUGGUGGCUCAGAUGGUAAAGAGUCUGCCUGCAAUGCAGGAGAUCUGGGUUCAAUCCCUGGGUCAGGAA
RNAcentral lists this transfer RNA (71 nucleotides) under Capra hircus (goat). It matches the Rfam family "tRNA". Rfam says of the family: Transfer RNA (tRNA) molecules are approximately 80 nucleotides in length. The record is from Rfam by way of RNAcentral. RNAcentral also lists the same sequence under 1 other name. Lineage: Eukaryota; Metazoa; Chordata; Mammalia; Artiodactyla; Bovidae.